UGGGGAAUUUUGGGCAAUGGGCGCAAGCCUGAUCCAGCCAUGCCGCGUGAGUGAAGAAGGCCUUCGGGUUGUAAAGCUCUUUCGGCCGGGAAGAAAUCGGCGACUCUAACAUAAAGUCGCUGGAUGACGGUACCGGACUAAGAAGCACCGGCUAACUACGUGC
RNAcentral lists this ribosomal RNA (163 nucleotides) under uncultured Thauera sp. RNAcentral describes it as "partial 16S ribosomal RNA". It matches the Rfam family "Bacterial small subunit ribosomal RNA", at positions 355 to 508 of the family's 1533-position model. Lineage: Bacteria; Pseudomonadati; Pseudomonadota; Betaproteobacteria; Rhodocyclales; Zoogloeaceae. The record is from RNAcentral.